RNAcentral lists this unclassified non-coding RNA (312 nucleotides) under plant metagenome. RNAcentral describes it as "partial contains 5.8S ribosomal RNA, internal transcribed spacer 2, and large subunit ribosomal RNA". The stretch from base 1 to 105 matches the Rfam family "5.8S ribosomal RNA", at positions 50 to 154 of the family's 154-position model. The record is from RNAcentral.
GAAAUGCGAUAAGUAAUGUGAAUUGCAGAAUUCCGUGAAUCAUCGAAUCUUUGAACGCACAUUGCGCCCUCUGGCAUUCCGGGGGGCAUGCCUGUCCGAGCGUCAUUACGCACCCUCAAGCCCGGCUUGUGUGAUGGGCCCCGGCGUCUCGUUCGCGAGACGGGCCCGAAAGGCAGCGGCGGCGUCGACCCGAUGAGCCCGAGCGUAUGGGGACUUCUGUCACACGUUCGCGGUGCGGACCGGCGCCUGCUUGACUUUUCUGAUUAUCCAGGUUGACCUCGGAUCGGGUAGGGAUACCCGCUGAGCUUAAGC